RNAcentral lists this long non-coding RNA (1049 nucleotides) under Apteryx haastii (Great spotted kiwi). RNAcentral describes it as "lncRNA (ENSAHAG00000018169.1)". Lineage: Eukaryota; Metazoa; Chordata; Aves; Apterygiformes; Apterygidae. The record is from RNAcentral.
GGAGGUUACGGAUGGUCCUCAAGUCCCGCAUACUGCAGAAGACCUUGCAGGCAUGAGAGAUGUUACAUUGGCAGCAGCAGUGGACCGGGAGGAAGAUCCACGGGAUUCCCAGAGCCUGCAUUCCUUGCCCGCAUGCCCGAGUCCAGAGGCAGCAGCGAAACUUCAGGAGUCUGCAGACGAGAGAGAAAAGCUUGAAGGACACAAGGCUGCCACAACACAAACAGAUUUUCAGUAUGGCGGACAGGCUGUGGUUGGACAGCUGCAGGAGGAGGCUGCUAAUGCUCUUGAAAAGCAGUUGAUUCUAGAAGGUUCACUUGAAGUCACAAAGCUUUACUGCAGUGAACCGAAAGAAGACAAAUUGCGGUUACAAGAGGAACUGGACAGGGUUAAAGCCAAGUUGCAGGAGUCGGAAGAACAGCGUAUACAAGCUGAGCAUUGUGUUCAGGAGUUGAAGGCAGCCCUGGAAAAUAAGCAAAGGGAAACAGUAGCAUCUUCCCAGAAACUGCAGGACCUUCUGGAAGCCUCUUUGGGAACCAUUAAUCUAAAACAACUGGAAGAACGAGUGCGACGACUUGAACUUGAAAAUGCCAGACUGGAAGGCACAGCUCAACAACAGACAGUUGGAACCCAAGUUCUGCAGAAAGACCUGCAAGCCUCUGCCUCAGUUCAUAGUCACCUGGAGGACYUGAUCACUGGCUUACCGACAAAACACGUGCCUUCAGAGGAAGACCAAAAUCAGCAGUGUAGGAGCAAAGGAAAGCCGUUGAAGACAAUGGCAGAAUGGACACGACCAACAGAAGCCCGUCUGGAGCAAGUAGUGGUAAGAAACAUCGAACUGCAGGAAGAACGCAACAGGUCCCAGAGGCUUCUGGAAGAAGCUAUGAAGAAACUGAGGAUGUACGAGAGGCAAGAGAGUGAAUCCCAGUUGAAUUUCCAGGACGAAAUGGAGGGUGCAUGUUCUGGAAUGGGCAGUGAGGUUGGCAGGUUAAGAACAGAGGUCCGUGAACUUUCCCACUGGCUGGAGGCAGAGCGGAGAAACUCAAGGCAGC